CCCCCAGCCUCAGCUUCCCUGACAGGGCAGGGGCUCACUCUUCUCCACUCCGGGCCAGGAACGCAGCCUGCUUGCCUUUUGUCCAAUUGGGUGCUCUUUCUUUGCGACUGAUACAAAGUGGGAACAAACUCCGCUUCCGGUGAUGCCCGGGCCCCAGGAGGCUGGGGGAGAAGUGCACGCUGCCCAGCCUUCAACCUGAACUGCCCCCAGCACUUCCGAGCCCCGACCCCUGCAGCUGUGAGGGCCCAGGGGCUGCUGGCUGCCAGGACCACCGCAUUGCAGAGGUCUCCCUUGCAGCAAGAGAUCUGGGAGUCCACAACGGCACUUAACCUGCCCUCUGCCCUGGCACCCCAGGGACUCACUGCCAAAGACGCUCACUUUCUGGGAGACACAGACCCCAUCCAGGAAGGGGCACGAGACCACGCUGCAGGAGGCCCCUUCCAAGACCGCCAAGCAUCUGUAGCAGCGCAGACCCUGAGCUGGGAGAGAGGGCAAGGAUUCUCUCGGCACCACGGGAACCACCUUCUCUACUCUCACUGAACACCCCUGGGAUGUAUCUGUAAAAAUUGGAACACCUUUCGGCUAGAAAUGGAAUCAUGAUAUGUUGCCUGGCUGGUCUUGAACUCCUGAGCUCAAGUGAUCCUCCCACCUCAGCCUCUCAAAGUACUGGGAUUACAGUCAUGAGCCACUGUGUCUGGCACAAGCAAAUAUUAAAACAAUGAAAGUACAAUGGAAUAGAGGAAAAACCAGGCCAUACAGAGAUAGGAGCUGAAGGGACAUGGUGAGAAGUGACCAGAAGACAAGAGUGCGAGCCUUCUGUCAUGCCCGGACAGGGCCACUACAGGGCUCCUUGGUCUAGCGGUAGUGCCAGUGCCUGGAAGGCACCUGUUACUUAGCAGACCAGGAAAGGGAGUCUCCCUUUCCCUGAGGAAGUUAGAGAAGACUCUGCUCCAGCACCUCUUGUGGAGGGCCUGACAUCAGUCAAGCCCGCCCGCAGUUAUCUGGAGGCCUAAACGUCUCCCUGUGAUGCUGUGCUUCAGUGGUCACGCUCCUGAUCCACUUUCAUGUUCCGCCCUGUACACCUGGCUCCGCCUUCUAGAUAGCAGUAGCAGAAUUAGUGAAAGUAUUAACGUCUUUGAUCUCUCCAGAACUACAUAGAAGAAAUAAUGACGUAAGCUGUCCCCUCUCUCUCUCCGCCUCGGCUACCAAAUAGGGAAGGGCCCCCUGUCUGGUGGACACAUGACUUGUGUGACCUUACCUAUCAUUGGAGAUGACUCACACUCCUUACCCUGCCCUCUUGCCUUAUAUACAAUAAAUAACGGCACGGCCAGGCAUUCAGGGUCACUACCGGUCUCCACGCCUUGG
Homo sapiens (human) is the source of this 1365-nucleotide long non-coding RNA. Ensembl annotates it as LY6S antisense RNA 1. Its record names the gene LY6S-AS1. NCBI's taxonomy places the organism in Eukaryota, Metazoa, Chordata, Mammalia, Primates, Hominidae. The record is from Ensembl.